RNAcentral lists this ribosomal RNA (301 nucleotides) under uncultured bacterium. Its description in RNAcentral is "partial 16S ribosomal RNA". It matches the Rfam family "Bacterial small subunit ribosomal RNA", at positions 509 to 807 of the family's 1533-position model. The record is from RNAcentral.
CAGUAGCCGCGGUAAUACGUAGGUGGCAAGCGUUGUCCGGAAUUAUUGGGCGUAAAGGGCUCGCAGGCGGUUUCUUAAGUCUGAUGUGAAAGCCCCCGGCUCAACCGGGGAGGGUCAUUGGAAACUGGGAAACUUGAGUGCAGAAGAGGAGAGUGGAAUUCCACGUGUAGCGGUGAAAUGCGUAGAGAUGUGGAGGAACACCAGUGGCGAAGGCGACUCUCUGGUCUGUAACUGACGCUGGGGAGCGAAAGCGUGGGGAGCGAACAGGAUUAGAUACCCCUGUAGUCCCUGUCUCUUAUAC